UUAUGGUCAAGCUACUAAGGGUGUACGGUGAAUGCCUUGGCGCCAGAAGUCGAUGAAGGACGUGGCAAGCUGCGAAAAGCUUCGGUGAGCUGCAAACGAGCUUCGACCCGAAGAUGUCCGAAUGGGGCAACCCACCUCGAGUCAUGUCGAGGUAUCCCCGGCUGAAUACAUAGGCCGGUGGAAGACAACGCAGGGAAGUGAACCAUCUCAGUACCUGCAGGAAUAGAAAACAAUAGUGAUUCCGCUAGUAGCGGCGAGCGAACGCGGAAGAGCCCAAACCAACGUGCUUGCACGUUGGGGUUGUAGGGCCCGUCAUACGGAGUUACAAAUCAGCAGAGUAAUUGAAAGGCCUGGAACGGCCUGCCAUAGACGGUGACAGCCCGGUAAAUGAAAUUCUGCUGACUCCGACGGGUACCCUGAGUACCGCGGGACACGUGAAAUCCCGUGGGAAUCUACGAGGACCAUCUCGUAAGGCUAAAUACUCUCUGGCGACCGAUAGUGAACCAGUACCGUGAGGGAAAGGUUAAAAGAACCCCUGUGAGGGGAGUGAAAUAGUACCUGAAACCGUACACUUACAAGCAGUGGGAGGGCUAUAACCGGGGCUUGCUCCGGUCAUGCCUGACCGCGUGCCUUUUGCAUAAUGAGCCGGCUAGUUAAUCUCAGUGGCAAGGUUAAGCGAAAGCGAGCCGCAGCGAAAGCGAGUCCGAAAUGGGCGACAAGUCGCUGGGAUUAGACGCGAAGCGAGGUGAUCUACCCUUGGCCAGGGUGAAGUACGGGUAACACCGUAUGGAGGCCCGAACCAGUGUUGGUUGAAAACAGCUUGGAUGAGCUGAGGGUAGGGGUGAAAGGCUAAUCAAACCUCGUGAUUGCCCGUUCUCCUCGAAAUAUCUUUAGGGAUAGCCUCGAGAGGUCGGCGUUGGUGGUAGAGAACUGAAUGGACUAGGGGGCUUACCAGCUUACUGAAUCCAAUCAAACUGCGAAUGCCAACGACACGUAUCUCGGGAGUCAGACAGUGGGGGCUAAGCUUCAUUGUCGAGAGGGAAACAGCCCAGACUACCGGCUAAGGUCCCUAACUCUGUACUAAGUGGUAAAGGAUCUGGAGACGCUCAGACAACCAGGAGGUUGGCUUAGAAGCAGCCAUCCUUUAAAGAAAGCGUAAUAGCUCACUGGUCAAGCGGCUCUGGGCCGACAAUAUAACGGGGCUCAAGUACAGGACCGAAGCCGUAGAAUAGACGAGACCCUGCGGGGUCUCAUAUUGGUAGAGGAGCGUUCUCGUCGCAGCGAAGUCAGACCGUAAGGACUGGUGGAGCGGCGAGAAGUGACCCUGCCGGCAUAAGUAGCGAUAAGGGAAGUGAGAAUCUUCCCCGCCGUAAGCCUAAGGUUUCCUGAGGAAGGUUCGUCCGCUCAGGGUCAGUCGGGUCCUAACGCGAGGCCGAAAGGCGUAGCGGAUGGAUAUCCGGUCAAUAUUCC
RNAcentral lists this ribosomal RNA (1470 nucleotides) under Chloroflexota bacterium. RNAcentral describes it as "Chloroflexi bacterium partial 23S ribosomal RNA". It matches the Rfam family "Bacterial large subunit ribosomal RNA", at positions 1 to 1439 of the family's 2925-position model. Lineage: Bacteria; Bacillati; Chloroflexota. The record is from RNAcentral.